Xenopus laevis (African clawed frog) is the source of this 1440-nucleotide long non-coding RNA. RefSeq lists it as uncharacterized. The record is from RefSeq and is a predicted model, not a curated record. The transcript has 4 exons. Lineage: Eukaryota; Metazoa; Chordata; Amphibia; Anura; Pipidae.
UAUCAAGGGUCGAAUAUCGAGGGUUAAAAAACUGCAACCCAGCACAGUAAAAAUUUGUCCAGAUCGCUGGCUUCUGACCGGCGCGCUGCGCGUGACAUCAGCGGCGGGGCACUGCGCGUGAUGUCAGCCAGGGCCGGAACUAGGGGUAGGCAGAGUAGGCGGUUGCCUAUGUCGCAAUCAUAGGGGGGCGCACGUUUAGGGUGAAAUUUUUUAAAUAAAUCCUUAUUUAAUUGCAUUUAAUUUUGUGGCGUGUUAUCUCUUUAACUAAUCUGUAGCGCAUCGGCGAUCGUCUGACUCCAGCUGCGCUCCAGCCCCCACCUCCCUCUUACUCGCUGUGGAGUCUCCUGCGCUUCUUUUCAACUCACUAUGGUGCAUGCGCUUUAGGAAGCAACGCAUGCAGGCAUCGACGGCACACCACGUUGAGACGGCAGCCGCAGAGAGCUGAUCUGGCGCGUCGGUGUGGUACCUGGCGUGCAUUGAAGACCGAUGGGCCUGCUGGUGACUUGGGCACACUGAAAGUCAGUCCUGGUGACUGCUGCAGGGCUUGUUUUCUGCGUCCUGCUGGCACACACAGGAUUCUGUCGGUACCUACUAACUGCAAGGACAAAUUUGGAGAAGCAAAAUGGCAGUUCAACAGAAUCUUACAUCCAUUCUGGUUCUAAAGGAGCCGGCUGAACAGGACCUGGUAUUAAGCCUGAAUUAAGAAGCAGGGACUCCAGUCAAGAAGAAUGUUUGAGAUGGAAGAAGGGUACAAGAGAAACAUUAUAGAAUGUGUAAGAGCAGCAAAAGCAAGUCCUUUAUGUGUCUAGGCUGAACUGCCGCAUGCCACUCAGACACAAGCCAUGACGACCCAACGGUCACUGUCCAACCGACUUUCAGCUGGAUAGGAGAGACGUCGCAGGAGUUUAGUCUUGGAGAUACAGAGCUUUUGGAAGAUUUCAGAGUGAAUAAAGGAGGAUAUUUUUAGCAGAAGAAAGAAGAAGGAGUGAGAGAGAAGAAAGAGAGGAGGAGGAGAUUUGUCAAGAAGAAGAAAAAUGAAUAGCAAGAAAAAGAGAAGAAGAGGCAGUAGCCCAGUGGAUGAUCCAGGAGGUAAGGAGAUGAAACUAUCAGUAUAUUGCUAUAGGAACAUACUCAUAUAACCUUUUACUUUUCUGGUAAAAAAGCAGAGAUGAGCUUCUUACUGUAUAUUAUAGUAGAACCCCCCAAAGUGGGGAAUAAGUGCAUUAUACAUAAUAUAUUGGUUGGGCCAUAGUAAACUGUUGUAGAAUGAGGGGGAAACUUAAAAUCAUGGUAAAAAUCAAUGUCAAAAUGAGGUUUCACAGUAUGUUCUUGGGAUAAUUGUACCUGUAGUAUAUUGCUAUAGGAACAUACUUAUAUAACCUUUUACUUUUCUGGUAAAAAAAAAGCAGAGAUGAGCUUCUUACUGUAUAUUAUAGUAAA